UGUUUUUCUUUGUGAUAGUUCGAAAAGUUCUUAAGAGCAAUUAUUUUAACCUCGACAACUCUCUACAAUUAUUCUCAUUACUUCGACAACUUUAUAUUGUGUGGCACAAAUUUUCAAAGUCUCUUCUUUCUCUGUUUGAGGUGAAGAGAAACAGAAAUGAUAAGAAACAUACUUUUUUCGGUUAAACAAGAAUUUGAAACGUGUCAUAAACAAGAUAGUCAUACUACAAUAAAUGAAAUGGCUGCUGAAUAUAAUGUUUGUCGAAAUACUGCCCGCAACGUUAUUGAACGUUCUCAAAGUCCAGUAAAUCAAUCAAUCGGACAACUAUUAAAAGCGGACAACCAAACAGAAUAUAGCAGCUUGAAGAGAGAGCUAUAUAAGUGGUUCCAAAAGUGCAAGGAAUCCGGAAACGAGAUUGACUUUUUGCAAUUUAAGGCUAAAGGAUUAGAACUUAUGAAAGACUAUAAUGGAAUAAAAACGCAUAACUAUAGAUACCUCUGGCUGCGUCGUUGUUUCAUAUCUUUCGAAGAACAGGAAUAUCAUCCUCAACCUGCUAAAAAUUAAGAACAACAGGAUAAUGAUAAAAAUAAUGAAGAAAUUACAGAUAAUUUCACAAAAUGUUCAAAUCCUGGUUAAAAAAUCGAUGGAAGAAAAUGUUAACAACUGGAAAGCACAGUAUCCGCAGAUAACAUUAUAAACGGUGAAGAUAAUGUACAUGAUAAUAUCCACGCGGAUGAUGUUAUGAUAGAUUAAUUUUUAUAUAAUGGGUAUUCUUUUGACGAACGAUAUUUCCGUAAAUAUUUGUACAAUGAAGCAGUAAAUGAUAUAGUAAUAGAUUUUGAAGACUAUUUAUAACACAA
This is a long non-coding RNA of Nylanderia fulva, 860 nucleotides long. RefSeq lists it as uncharacterized. The record is from RefSeq and is a predicted model, not a curated record. Lineage: Eukaryota; Metazoa; Arthropoda; Insecta; Hymenoptera; Formicidae.